AGCUUGGGGAAUAGGGAAAGGGCAAUUAAAACUAAACUCUGACUCGGCCCUCCAGAUGGGCUAUGGCCGGGAAGAGGUCAGGGAGCAAGGGGGCCACGGGGAUCCGGGGCGUGGGACUCGGGCCCCGGCCUGAGUCUUAGGUAUCCGUAGCGCCCUCCUUCUUCCUCCUCUUCGCUGAAUACAGCUCACGGUAAGUACUGGUUCACACAGUUCGUUCUCGGGGUGCUCACUCUCUUUCUCUUCCUCCACAGGCAACGGCUGGGACACAAAGGCACAGUUAAUUCGGCUUGGUUUUGCUCUCACCUCUUCGCUGAUUGCAGCUCACAGUAAGUACUGGUUCACACAGUUCGUUCCUUGGGUGCUCACUCGCUUUCUCUUUCUCCACAGGCAGCGGCGUAAGUACAGGUUUCCUCGGUCUCUCCUCGUGUUACCCACUCUCUCUCCUUUUCUCUCCACAGGUAUCAACUUGGGCACAAUAGCACAGUUAGUUUGCUUUGAAUGGCUCUCACCUCUGGGCUGGACACAGCGUACUGUAAGUACAGGGUUCCUCUGUUUCUCCUUGUGUUACUCACUCUCUCUUUCCUUUCCUCUCCACAGGUAUCAACUUGGACGCAAAGCACAGUUACUCUGCUUUGGAUGGCUUUCACCUCUGGGCUGGACACAGCGUACUGUGCUAUCUCCGGAGAUCUGAAGCACGCUCACAACAUAUGCUGUACUGAACUAGGCUAGGACCAGCAGUCUCCUUGUCCUCCCGCGACGAAGUGCGUGAAGGCGGGGGUUUAUCUGACAGGACACACGGCAAUACACAGCAGCCCACAGCAAUAUACAGCACCACGUCAAAAUUAUAGGUUUUCACAGCAUGAAGACUCACCCACCACACUCAGUGUACGAAAAGGACACCCGUCUUCCUUCACUUCGCUUGGUUCGGAUCUGGCGAUGGAAUAUGCGGCCUAGCUAGUGAUGUCGUCGUUGUGACUACUUCAAUAAGUAUUCCUUCGGCUCUCCCACCACACUAUAUUAGGGGUAGGGCCGCCCUCCUCCUCCUGGAGAGAUCUACACAACGCCAGGUCAAUAUACAGGGCACUUUCGACUGGCUCUUAGUACUCACAUCAAUGCCGCUUCCAAUCCCCUUUUUCACGUCAUCUCAGUUCGCCGUAUAAUCCGUUCACUUCUCAACCUUUAAGGUUCGCGAUGUCUUCACAAUCAUACAAUUCCAGCCUGAGGGAGAGAGAGAGAGAGUUAGACAGCCGCCAGCAGCGCACCAAGACGGGCACAACACAGUGCUUCA
This is a long non-coding RNA of Cyprinus carpio carpio, 1288 nucleotides long. The record is from Ensembl. NCBI's taxonomy places the organism in Eukaryota, Metazoa, Chordata, Actinopteri, Cypriniformes, Cyprinidae.